GCUGGACCAUCCUGGGUAUAAAUAGGUGAGGCUCUGAGGUUUCGGGCAUCAGUCUUCCAGUGAGAGGCUUCAUCACAAACUCAUCCAAAAUGAAGGUUGCUCUGGUUCUCGCCCUCGUGGCCUGCGCUGCCGCCCUGCCCACUCCCGAGGCCGACCCUCAGCUUCUGUACACCAGCCCCCUCGUCACCUACCCCGUCGUCAAGACUGUCAAGGCCGACACCCCCGCCAGCACCGUCCCCCUC
Molecule: non-coding RNA, 242 nt
Organism: Penaeus vannamei (Pacific white shrimp)
Lineage: Eukaryota; Metazoa; Arthropoda; Malacostraca; Decapoda; Penaeidae
Source: RefSeq, a predicted model, not a curated record